This 2286-nucleotide long non-coding RNA is filed under the name Solanum lycopersicum (tomato). RNAcentral's name for it is "long non-coding RNA (SLYC_LNC000236)". The record is from RNAcentral. Lineage: Eukaryota; Viridiplantae; Streptophyta; Magnoliopsida; Solanales; Solanaceae.
ACCAAUAAGAAAAUCAAAAAUCUCAAAAGCUCUCUUCUCUUCCUAAUUCUCUCAAACCUCCAUUGGAGGAAAGCUCAACCUCAAGCUAGAAGAUGAAUCUUUGAACGAUUUCUUCUCCAAUUUCAUGGGUAUUCAAUCAAUAAGGUUUAGUGAUCCUUCAUCAUUAGUUAUUCAUUUAUCUAAGGAGUUUCUCCAAAGGUUUUCAAAGAAGAUUUCAUGAUGAAAAUUGCAAUUUUUCAAUCUAGCCACUGGUUCUUAUUCAAAUUGAUUUCAAAAGUAUGUUAUUGAUAAAUUUAUGAUUAUUUCAAUCCAUUUUCAUGAUGAACCCAUGAUCCUCCUAAUUUCUCAAAUUGGCCUAAAUGUGGGUCUUGUGAUCUUGAUGAUUGGAUUAUGUUUAGAUUGUAAUGAACUUGUUAAUUCAAUAUUCCUUUAUGUCAAUUGAUUAUGAAUUUUUUUGAAUUGAUCAAGAUGAUCAUUAAGUUGAAGAUUUUAUAAGUUCACCUAUUUCUUCUAAUUAGCUUAAAAUGUACAUUAAAUUUUGAUGAUUGGUAUGGUCCACUUAUGGUAGCGUUGUUUACAUUUUUGUACAUGUUUAUGUGUUAUGAUCAUGGAAUUGAAGGAAUUAGAUGCAAGAUGAAUUGAUAUGAUGAAUUCCAUGUUUAGGAAGUUUAAGGAUUUAGCCUUGAUUCUAAUAUCAUGUUCUAACUUCAUUGAUAUUAUGUGGAGUAUGUGAAUAGUGUUCAACACUAGUUGCAUGAUAUAAGUGUGUGGAUGAUGUUAACUAUAUGUGAUGAUCAUGUCAGAGUUGGAUGUGGUCUAGAUGGAUAAUGAUGAUGAAUAUCCUUGUAGCAUGACCAACCUGUACGAACCAUAUAUGAAUGUGUGAGCAAAGUAUGUUAGAAGUCUUCUAUCCUAACGAUUGAAUAUGUUCUUUUCUCCUAUGAUGUAAUGUGAGUUUGUGUAGUUAUAGUCCUUAUUAAUCUAUAUGUGUGUAUGACUUGAGACUUGAGGAAUGUUGUACAUGUGUUGUGAUCUUUAGAGGAUGACCUUCUCAAGUUUAUGUUAUAGCAAUUAUGUGAUCAUGUUGACCAAUAUACACACACACACUUCAUGAAUGACUAUGAAUAGGGUAGAUUCACGAUGAUUAAGAAAAGAAUAGUUAUUCUAUGCAUCAUUACCUAUUUCUAUGCAUGUGAAGUAUAUGAUUAAUGAAGUUAUAAGCAUGUGUGAUUAGAUUAUCCUAUCCUAACACAUUUUGUAUCCUUCAUUUAAUUUUGUGCAUUACUUGAGGUUGGCCUCAUUGUUUAUUUUGGAACUUUAACCUUCAUUGACAUAGAUCAUGUGAGCAUCAUGAAAUCCAUUAUUUCACCACACACCGAAAAGAGGUGGAAUCACCGGCUAAAGUGAACAAAAAUAUGCUAGCGUAUAUAGGGAAUCGAACCUUGCUAGAACCCUAUAUUGGAAGUAUAGGUUCAAAGACUAGGAGAUAUAAGAAGAACCAUACCCGUCUAGAUGGUCAGUCUCAUCUCAUGAGAAUUACAGUAACCUCUGCCUUCCCGAAAGAAGGAAUCACGACGCAUAACUCAAGAAACUCCUAAUAUCAGUUGGAGAUGUGGGUCUAAGACAACUUUGAACUACUUAUAUCUUUUGGGUGUCAUCUCUAAUUCCUUCUCCAGAUACUAUGUUCCCUAAGAACCACAGAUUCAAUCCAAACUCACAUUUAGAGAACUUGACAUACAUCUCUUUAUCCUUCAAAGUCUCAUGACUAUUCUGAGCCAGAUAAUGAUGACUUUAGUUUGUAACUAACUCUAUUUUAGUGAUGGACAUAAGUUUGUUGAACUUGCUAGUGUUGUUGUGAUGUUGUCUUGACAAAUUCUUUCAUUUUUUUUAGAUUUUUCUUGUAGUGGGACUGAAUCUAGUAUAAUUGAUAUAUAGUUGCAGCUUGUAAGUUCAACUAUCAACUAGUGAUGUGUGGUAACGAGUAAGUAAAGAACUUAUUUAUAUAACUUACUUGAUAGUUUUAUAUAUUCUAUUAUGAAAUGUAGAUCAUUUGUCUAAACAGUUGUUUUUCUCGCAGGUCCAUCAAUGUUUUAUUAUUUUCUUGGUUGCUAUCUGCUAGAACUUGGAAUCUAUUGCAAUGGAGGUUGCAAGUUGCAACAAUGUUUUGUUGGUUUUCUAAAUCUCUUUUGUUGCUGGAAGUUGUAAUGAGCCAGAUAAUGAUUACACUUUCAAUGAUUUUAAUUACUUAAAAUGAUUUCUAAGAACCUAUAAACCAUCAAAGAACAC